AAUAGUCCUGUAUGUUAAACGAGAAGACUUCAGAUAUGAUCCAGAGUACCACGGGACACGUGAAACCCUGUGGGAAGCAGGAGGGACCACCCUCCAAGGCUAAAUACUACCUAGUGACCGAUAGCGUAUAGUACCGUGAGGGAAAGGUGAAAAGAACCCCGGGAGGGGAGUGAAAUAGAACCUGAAACCCUGCACUUACAAGCUGUGGAAGCACAUUUCUUGUGUGACCGCGUACUUUUUGUAGAACGGGCCAACGAGUUACGUUAAGUAGCAAGGUUAAGCACUUAAGGUGCGGAGCCGUAGCGAAAGCGAGUUUUAACUGAGCGUUCAGUUACUUGACGUAGACCCGAAACCGGGCGACCUACCCAUGAGCAGGAUGAAGCGAAAGUAAAAUUUCGUGGAGGUCCGAACCCACGAGCGUUGAAAAGCUCGGGGAUGACUUGUGGGUAGCGGUGAAAUUCCAAUCGAGCCCGGAGAUAGCUGGUUCUCCCCGAAAUAGCUUUAGGGCUAGCCUCAAGGUGAGAGAUACGGAGGUAGAGCACUGAAUGUCCUAGGGGGUAUUGCACCUACCGAAGACUAUCAAACUCCGAAUGCCGUCAUCUUAUACUUGGGAGUCAGACUGUGGGUGAUAAGAUUCAUAGUCGAAAGGGCAACAGCCCAGAUCGUCAGCUAAGGUCCCUAAAUGUAAGUUAAGUGGUAAAGGAUGUGGGAUUGCACAGACAACCAGGAUGUUGGCUUAGAAGCAGCCACUCAUUCAAAGAGUGCGUAAUAGCUCACUGGUCGAGUGAUCCUGCGCCGAAGAUUUCCGGGGCUAAAACUUACUACCGAAGCUACGGCAUCAGUAAUGAUGGGUAGGGGAGCUUCCCAUACGGGUUGAAGCAUGACCGUAAGGACAUGUGGACAGUAUGGGAGUGAGAAUGUUGGCAUGAGUAGCGAGAUGUGGGUGAGAAUCCCACAGGCCGUAAACCCAAGGUUUCCAGGGGAAGGUUCGUCCGCCCUGGGUUAGUCGGGACCUAAGCUGAGGCCGAAAGGCGUAGGUGAUGGACAACAGGUUGAUAUUCCUGUACUACCGAUAACCGUUUGAGAGAAGGGAUGACACAGUAGGAUAAGCUAAGCACACUGUUGGUUAUGUGUGCCCAAGCAUUGAGGCAGUCAAAGCAGGCAAAUCCGCUUUGAUAAUGCUGGGAUGUGAUGGGGAGCGAAAUUUAGUAGCGAAGUAGCUGAUUUCACACUGUCAAGAAAAGUCUCUAUCGAGGUUAAAGGUACCCGUACCGCAAACCGACACAGGUGGGUGAGGAGAGUAUCCUAAGGCCAGCGAGAGAACUGUUGUUAAGGAACUCGGCAAAAUGACCCCGUAACUUAGGGAUAAGGGGUGCCACCAUCCGGUGGCCGCAGAGAAUAGGCCCAAGCGACUGUUUACCAAAAACAUAGGUUUCUGCUAAGUCGCAAGACGAUGUAUAGGAGCUGACGCCUGCCCGGUGCUGGAAGGUUAAGGGGAUCUGUUAGAGCAAUCGAAGCAGUGAACUUAAGCCCCAGUAAACGGCGGCCGUAACUAUAACGGUCCUAAGGUAGCGAAAUUCCUUGUCGGGUAAGUUCCGACCCGCACGAAAGGCGUAACGAUUUGGGCACUGUCUCAACA
This 1639-nucleotide ribosomal RNA is filed under the name Clostridioides difficile. RNAcentral's name for it is "partial 23S ribosomal RNA". It matches the Rfam family "Bacterial large subunit ribosomal RNA", at positions 366 to 2026 of the family's 2925-position model. Lineage: Bacteria; Bacillati; Bacillota; Clostridia; Peptostreptococcales; Peptostreptococcaceae. The record is from RNAcentral.